GAUGAACGCUGGCGGCGUGCCUAAUACAUGCAAGUCGAGCGAACAGACUAGGAGCUUGCUCCUCUGACGUUAGCGGCGGACGGGUGAGUAACACGUGGAUAACCUACCUAUAAGACUGGGAUAACUUCGGGAAACCGGCGCUAAUACCUGAUAAUAUAUUGAACCGCAUGGUUCAAUAGUGAAAGACGGUUUUGCUGUCACUUAUAGAUGGAUCCGCGCCGCAUUAGCUAGUUGGUAAGGUAACGGCUUACCAAGGCAACGAUGCGUAGCCGACCUGAGAGGGUGAUAGGCCACACGGGAACUGAGACAAGGUCCAGACUCCUACGGGAGGCAGCAGUAGGGAAUCUUCAGCAAUGGGCGAAAGCCUGAAGGAGCAACGCCGCGUGAGUGAUGAAGGUCUUCGGAUCGUAAAACUCUGUUAUUAGGGAAGAACAAAUGUGUAAGUAACUAUGCACGUCUUGACGGUACCUAAUCAGAAAGCCACGGAUAACUACGUG
Molecule: ribosomal RNA, 497 nt
Filed under: uncultured bacterium
Lineage: Bacteria
Description: partial 16S ribosomal RNA
Rfam family: Bacterial small subunit ribosomal RNA
Source: RNAcentral